Molecule: ribosomal RNA, 460 nt
Filed under: uncultured bacterium
Lineage: Bacteria
Description: partial 16S ribosomal RNA
Rfam family: Bacterial small subunit ribosomal RNA
Source: RNAcentral
CCUACGGGAGGCAGCAGUGAGGAAUAUUGGUCAAUGGACGAAAGUCUGAACCAGCCAAGCCGCGUGAAGGAUGACUGCUCUAUGGGUUGUAAACUGCUUUUAUAUGGGGAUAAAACGAUCUACGUGUAUGUUUUUGUAUGUAUCGUAUGAAUAAGGAUCGGCUAACUCCGUGCCAGCAGCCGCGGUAAUACGGAGGAUUCAAGCGUUAUCCGGAUUUAUUGGGUUUAAAGGGUGCGUAGGCGGUCGGUUAAGUUAGUUGUGAAAUCCCGAGGCUCAACCUUGGAAUUGCAGCUGAUACUGGUCGGCUAGAGAGUAGUAGCGGUGGGCGGAAUGUGUGGUGUAGCGGUGAAAUGCUUAGAGAUCAUGAAGAACACCGAUUGCGAAGGCAGCUUACUAAACUGCAACUGACGUUGAGGCACGAAAGUGUGGGGAGCAAACAGGAUUAGAUACCCGAGUAGUC